RNAcentral lists this long non-coding RNA (964 nucleotides) under Physcomitrium patens. Its description in RNAcentral is "long non-coding RNA (PPAT_LNC008231)". Lineage: Eukaryota; Viridiplantae; Streptophyta; Bryopsida; Funariales; Funariaceae. The record is from RNAcentral.
GGACUUAACAAGGUAUCGCUCGAUUUUAAGUUGUAAUGAAUUCCUCUUUGAAUUACUAGACCGGUGCCUGCACACUGCGAGCAUAUCUUCCUCGUACUCUGCAAGGACAGGGUAGCCUCAUGACAUGAAUUGCCCACAAGUUCCCAGCUCCAGAUCGUCUUCUGUAGUCGCAUGCCGUUACGAAUUUUGCAAUAAGACUUCUCUCCUCCAGCCUUUAAAAUAUCCGAAGUAGGCGUAAAUCUUUCCUGGGUCCAUGGUGUGCGCAAACACAAACCCAGAAAAUCGCAUUGCCAAAAUCAAGACCCACUACCACCUCAGGUCCCGAAGCAUUCGUUGAACCCUAAGCCAUCCCUCACAACCUCGGUACCUUCAACUCCUCCCACUGAACAUUUAUUCAAGUGAGCACCACUCACACUGAAAAUAGACGUCACUCGUCGCAGCUUUUAAAGAAAAGAAAUGAAUGUAACGUCAUUCACCUUGUUCGCUUCAAAUCAGGAAGAGAAAUGCUGUGUAAUGACGGAUCUCCCACAUUAGCCACUGCCUGGGCACAGAUAAAGCAUAAAGCUUCAUUACUUAAUUAAGAUCGCUCCCACUAACUGGCCACACCAGCACACCACUGACCACACCCACAACUGAGCACAUUCAAUAAACCCAGUCAUGGAUCCAACUACAGAAGCUAAAAUAAAAAAAUCCAAUCCUAUGGAACAUCAAUGACAACAGAAGCGGCCAUUACACCCCUCGCGUUUCAAAAAAUGAGCGGGUCCACCACCCAGCAUCUCACUAAACCCAUCAUCUACUUGCAAAACACCACCAUUCUACUAUCGAAUUAAAACAAAUAACACACGCGAAAGCUGUUAAACAAUCGAACCCAUAAAAUCAGCGAGAUGCUCCAUGAUUUCAUCGGUUUUCUGCCCCAGAUUGUGACCAACGAAGGGGGCUUCUACCGAUCUCAUCGUCCACUCAC